GAUGAACGCUGGCGGCGUGCCUAAUACAUGCAAGUCGAGCGUACAGACGAGGAGCUUGCUCCUCUGACGUUAGCGGCGGACGGGUGAGUAACACGUGGAUAACCUACCUAUAAGACUGGGAUAACUUCGGGAAACCGGAGCUAAUACCGGAUAAUAUAUUGAACCGCAUGGUUCAAUAGUGAAAGACGGUUUUGCUGUCACUUAUAGAUGGAUCCGCGCCGCAUUAGCUAGUUGGUAAGGUAACGGCUUACCAAGGCAACGAUGCGUAGCCGACCUGAGAGGGUGAUCGGCCACACUGGAACUGAGACACGGUCCAGACUCCUACGGGAGGCAGCAGUAGGGAAUCUUCCGCAAUGGGCGAAAGCCUGACGGAGCAACGCCGCGUGAGUGAUGAAGGUCUUCGGAUCGUAAAACUCUGUUAUUAGGGAAGAACAAAUGUGUAAGUAACUAUGCACGUCUUGACGGUACCUAAUCAGAAAGCCACGGCUAACUACGUG
This 497-nucleotide ribosomal RNA is filed under the name uncultured bacterium. Its description in RNAcentral is "partial 16S ribosomal RNA". It matches the Rfam family "Bacterial small subunit ribosomal RNA", at positions 28 to 507 of the family's 1533-position model. The record is from RNAcentral.